GUCUAUGGCCAUGCCACCCUGAACAAGCCCGAUCCCGUCUGAUCUCGGAAGCUAAGCAGGGUUGGGCCUGGUUAGUGCUUGGAUGGGAGACCACCUAGGAAGACCAGGUGCUGUAGGCA
Molecule: ribosomal RNA, 119 nt
Filed under: Pteropus alecto (black flying fox)
Lineage: Eukaryota; Metazoa; Chordata; Mammalia; Chiroptera; Pteropodidae
Source: RNAcentral